RNAcentral lists this ribosomal RNA (286 nucleotides) under uncultured Subdoligranulum sp. Its description in RNAcentral is "partial 16S ribosomal RNA". The stretch from base 46 to 286 matches the Rfam family "Bacterial small subunit ribosomal RNA", at positions 100 to 339 of the family's 1533-position model. The record is from RNAcentral. Lineage: Bacteria; Bacillati; Bacillota; Clostridia; Eubacteriales; Oscillospiraceae.
UUUAUUUGAUUUCCUUCGGGGAUGAUUGUUCUGUGACUGAGUGGCGGACGGGUGAGUAACGCGUGAGUAACCUGCCCUGGAGUGGGGGACAACAGUUGGAAACGACUGCUAAUACCGCAUAAGCCCACGGCCCGGCAUCGGGCUGAGGGAAAAGGAUUUAUUCGCUUCAGGAUGGACUCGCGUCCAAUUAGCUAGUUGGUGAGGUAACGGCCCACCAAGGCGACGAUUGGUAGCCGGACUGAGAGGUUGAACGGCCACAUUGGGACUGAGACACGGCCCAGACUCC